AUGGGUUACACUGCACUCCUUGCUCUUCUGUUGAUCCUUCACACGGUAAAUGGACAGACUACUACAGCAACUCCACCAUUGAGCCCUACUGAUCCACCAUUGAGCUCAGCAGCCCCACAGUCAAGUGGGACUCCUGUCCAACAAACAAGGUCAAAUGAUCCACUGUCAAGCUCAACAGCCACUUCAUCCUCAACAACUUCAUCAGUUGGUAUAACACCCUCGUCAACAGAUGUAACACCCUCACUGGUUGGUGCCUCAUCUCAAGUGUCAAACACAGACAAUCCUACAUCUAUUGCAACAACUAAAGCAUCAAGUUUGACGCAUCAACGUCCAAAUGCAACAGCUCUGCCAUCAAAUGUAACAACUCCAUCUACCAAUACAAGCUCUCAGAGUGCAUGGACAACUCUGGCCACUACAGGCGGGUCAUUGAAUACCACUCAAUAUCACUUUGGCAAUUUAUCGACACCAUUUCCUGGGAUUAGUGGAACUAGCCCAGUUCCUCUGGUGGCUUCAUUCUCAAGGAGAUGUUCUUCAAAUCCACCUCUGUGUUGUCUUGGGCUCAACAAUUCCUGUUUCAGAGGGUGCUUCUGUGAUGUGGCCUGUAUAAGGUUGAAAGAUUGCUGCCCAGACUUCCAGACUACUUGUGUGACAGGUGUGCAGAUUGGAUCAGCCACGGUGUCCUCAGUCUCCAACGCAACCAAUGCAACCAACGCAACCACCGCAACCAAUGCAACCACCGUAACCAAUGCAACCACCGCAACCAAUGCAACCACCGUAACCAAUGCAACCACCGCAACCAACGCAACCAAUGCAACCAACGCAACCAACACAACCAACGCAACCAAUUCCACUUCCACAUCAUUCCCAGUGUUCUCAUUUCCAGGAAAUUGUUCUGCACGGCCGGCCUUGUGCUGUAAAGGCGCCAACGUGAACUGCUUCAGAGGGUGCUUCUGUGACGAGGUUUGUCAGACUCUAAAUGACUGCUGUCCUGACUAUGCAGAGACCUGCACAAAAGACAUUCAGAGGGUGAUUGGUAGUGGAACUAUAUCCAUUCUUGCUCCACCCAAUUCAACUGAUGCGUCUCUUGAAGUGUCUAUUCAGAAUGUAAGUGCUUCUGCUUUCUCUUUGCCUAUCUCAACACUCAGAAACAACAAAUGCCCUACUUACAUAUAUUCAUUUGAGUCAUUUAGCAGAUGCUCUUUUCAGAGCGACCAACGCGCUUAA
Molecule: long non-coding RNA, 1224 nt
Organism: Oncorhynchus mykiss (rainbow trout)
Lineage: Eukaryota; Metazoa; Chordata; Actinopteri; Salmoniformes; Salmonidae
Source: Ensembl